UACAGAGGAGCCAAGCGUUGUCCGGAUUGACUGGGCGUAAAGCGCACGCAGGCGGACGCGCGCGUGGGGUGUGAAAUCUGGCCGCUUAACGGCCAGGCGCCAUCCCAUACGGCGCGUCUGGAGUGAUGCAGAGGUCGAUGGAAUUGCCGGUGUAGUGGUGGAAUGCGCAGAUAUCAGGAGGAACACCAAUAGCGAAGGCGCUCAUCUGGCCCAAUACUGACGCUGAGGCGCGAAAGCUAGGGGAGCAAACGGG
This 253-nucleotide ribosomal RNA is filed under the name uncultured bacterium. RNAcentral describes it as "partial 16S ribosomal RNA". It matches the Rfam family "Bacterial small subunit ribosomal RNA", at positions 524 to 776 of the family's 1533-position model. The record is from RNAcentral.